GGCUGAGAUUUCACAACCCAGUGGACCGCUCCCGUCCCUUGACCCCACCCCUAGAGCACUGGUUAGAUGUCAAUGUCAUCACUCAGUAAAACACCUCAACAUAACGCAGCAAAUAUGGAUAUUCAGAAUUUCUUCUGAAAGAGAGGCAAAAAGUGAUCAGGUUGAGUAGUGAAUGAGGUGGAGAGGCUAGAACAGCCAGAAAGUCAGUGCAGCAGCAGAGUUAGCUGCAGGGUUGUUGGUAGCUAACUAGUCUCCAUCAGCAUUUGGGUAGGCUAAUGCCUUUGGUUUCAUUCACACCUGGUUUUCAUUUUCUUUAAUUUCUGUGUGUAUAUUUACCUCUGUUUCCCACUGAGGUUUGUGCGGGAUUGUUUUCAUGUUGCUCAUUGAGGUUUUCCUCAGUUCAUUCACGUGUGUACAGAGUUGUUGUAUAAUUAAGGAGCGUUGUUUUUUCUCCUUCCGUGACUAUUUGUUCCGAUGUCUUGGGCGUUUUGUGGUAUUGUACCUGACCCAUUGGCCUAUUAAAGACGCUACUUUGAACAUCUCUGCUCUCCUGCGCGUGACUACCUUCACUAACCUCAAGUACAGUUUCACAACAGGAUGACUCUAGAAGCUCGCCCAUGGCAACGCAAUAAAACACCUUAAUAAAGGCCACUUUGGAGAAUACUGUGGUAGCAUGUGCAUGCAAAAGACUGCUUACAACAAUUAAACCUCUUCUGCAAAAGUACUUUUGCAACCAAUGUAAUAAUAACACUUACGGCAGUACGGAAUAAUACUACAUACGAUAAACAAUAUGCAAAGAAGCAUUGGUAACUCUAACUGUCACGACUCCGACCGAAGGACACUCCCCUUCCCGUUCGGGUGGCGCUCGGCGGUCGUCAUCGCCGGCCUACUAGCUGCUACUGAUUAUUUCCUCCCCCUCCUUAUGUGUUGAUUGUGUGCACCUGUUUUGAGUUAGGUAGUAGGCUUUAUUAGUCAGCCGGCCCGCAGGGUUCCUUGUGCGGGAUUAAUUAUUGUGAUCGUCUGUUUGGUGUACUUAUGUGCACCUCUAUUUGGGUUUUGUCUUUUCCCAUUUUGUGGGUUUUCCCUGGACGGUUUAAGUCCCCCUGUUUGGGGCAUUUGUUUGUUCAGUACGCCCUGUGUUUUUGUGAGGGUUGGCUUAUGUUCAGCGUUUGUGUCAGUGCAUUAAAAUAGCACUCCCCUGAACUCUCUGCUUCCUGCGCCUGACUCCUCACCCACUACACUCAGACCGUUACACUAACGUUAAAGAAUAGUAGCAGCAAUGCGGUAGAACACAGAGGAAGAAUAUGAUAGACAAUGUUAGCUGUAUGUUAUUCUUCAAUAACACAGGCCCCAAAGCAAAUCAGGGGGAGAAAAUAGAUUUAUUUGAGAAGGACAAAUCAUAGAUGCUAUGCUGAAAUGUAGGUGUUCAAUCUCUCUUGUCUUCAGUUUUUCUCCACAGAACAAAGGAACAGAAUGCCAUUCAUAACCCCCCCACCCUAGCCUGGAGUUGACCAAUCAGAAGUCCUUGCAGUACAACUGGGCCAAUGGCCAAAUAACAAGUAGACCAGAAAAGCCACAUCCCGAAUUGGCAGAUGAGCAGCAACCCUGAUUAGAAGCACCUGCUGCUCAAUGCUGUUUUGAAUUCAAAUAAAAUUGUACCUAAACACUGAAGGCUGUAAAGAAACACAGAGGAUGGUGGCAGUUAUAUUGUCUUAAGAAAGUCGGAGACCUACAAGAUCAACAAGAGAAUGGGUGGAGAUUGGUCAAAAGAUCGAGCGGAUCAGGCAGAGAGAGACCGCGAUCAAGCCAAAACUGAUAAACAGAAAGCGGAGGAGGACAAACAGAACAUGGAGAAGGAAAAGAAAAAGACAGAAGAGGAUUACAGGCAGCUCUUUGCUGAGAAAGUGAGAAUGGAAACAGAACAAAAGAUGGAAGAAAAACAAAGACAGGAGCUUGAGAAGGAAACUCUAAAAGUAAUAGAACACAAUAGACAGCGAGAGAAAAAUGAAAAGACAAGAAUUCAGCUGGAAAAUGCAAAAGGAGAUCAAAAAACUGUAUGAAAUGUAUCCACAUAUUAAGAGACAAAUGCAUAAACGGUUAAAUGAUCCA
Oncorhynchus tshawytscha (Chinook salmon) is the source of this 2109-nucleotide long non-coding RNA. NCBI's taxonomy places the organism in Eukaryota, Metazoa, Chordata, Actinopteri, Salmoniformes, Salmonidae. The record is from Ensembl.